UAAAGACGGUGCUUACCUCAACAACGUCUUUGAAAGUGGGCAUUCAAAGACAGUGUUGAUGUAAGCACCGUCUUAGAAUGUUGACAUUCAAAGACGGUGUUGAGGUAAGCACCGUCCUU
Non-coding RNA from Glycine soja, 119 nucleotides. The record is from Rfam. NCBI's taxonomy places the organism in Eukaryota, Viridiplantae, Streptophyta, Magnoliopsida, Fabales, Fabaceae.